AUGAUCCUACGGGACGCAGCAGUAGGGAAUCUUCCACAAUGGACGAAAGUCUGAUGGAGCAACGCCGCGUGAGUGAAGAAGGGUUUCGGCUCGUAAAGCUCUGUUGGUAGUGAAGAAAGAUAGAGGUAGUAACUGGCCUUUAUUUGACGGGAAUUACUUAGAAAGUCACGGCUAACUACGUGCCAGCAGCCGCGGUAAUACGUAGGUGGCAAGCGUUGUCCGGAUUUAUUGGG
Molecule: ribosomal RNA, 233 nt
Filed under: uncultured bacterium
Lineage: Bacteria
Description: partial 16S ribosomal RNA
Rfam family: Bacterial small subunit ribosomal RNA
Source: RNAcentral